ACCUGAGAAACCCAAAAGAUCGAAUGGGGAGAUUCAUCGUCAGCUCAUUUUAUAUAUAUGCUAGUUGUGAUAUGGGUUACUAUACUUCUGGUGUAGUAUUGCCUGUACAUUCUAGUAUAUUUAAUUGUAAGAUGUUGUCGGCGUGCACUUCUCCCCUAGUAGGACGUCGCGACCCGUUGAGUUUGUUGGUCUACGACCCAGGUGGUAGCUUUUAAUAAAUUUUUAUUUAUUAAAAACCCUUGGUGUUUUCUGACUGGCACUCGUCGGUAUUCGUAUGGUAUUGAGCCGCAUAUAUAUGCGUCCAUAUCUGUCGCAAGCGAGGUUAGUUUACUGAUAGUACGGACCUAGUGCCGUCGUUGGUACUAAUCAGCUGUUGGUUGUACAGAAUUCUAGGACUGGCUUAAAAAAAAA
This 411-nucleotide ribosomal RNA is filed under the name Braconinae sp. BIOUG02486-B09. RNAcentral's name for it is "partial 28S ribosomal RNA". The record is from RNAcentral. Lineage: Eukaryota; Metazoa; Arthropoda; Insecta; Hymenoptera; Braconidae.